Molecule: ribosomal RNA, 253 nt
Filed under: uncultured bacterium
Lineage: Bacteria
Description: partial 16S ribosomal RNA
Rfam family: Bacterial small subunit ribosomal RNA
Source: RNAcentral
UACGUGAGGGGCGAACGUUGUUCGGUGUCACUGGGCUUAAAGGGUGCGUAGGUGGUUGUGUAAGUAACGUGUGAAAUCCCCCGGCUUACCCGAGGAAUUGCGCGUUAUACUGCACGGCUUGAGGUACAGAGGGGAAAGAGGAACUCCAGGUGUAGCGGUGAAAUGCGCAGAUAUCUGGGGGAAGGCCGGCGGCGAAGGCGUCACUCUGGGCCGGUACUGACGCUGAGGAGCGAAAGCGUGGGGAGCGAACAGG